This 994-nucleotide ribosomal RNA is filed under the name Buchnera aphidicola (Prociphilus erigeronensis). RNAcentral describes it as "bacterial SSU rRNA". It matches the Rfam family "Bacterial small subunit ribosomal RNA", at positions 337 to 1325 of the family's 1533-position model. The record is from RNAcentral. Lineage: Bacteria; Pseudomonadati; Pseudomonadota; Gammaproteobacteria; Enterobacterales; Erwiniaceae.
UCCUACGGGAGGCAGCAGUGGGGAAUAUUGCACAAUGGGCGAAAGCCUGAUGCAGCUAUACCGCGUGUAUGAAGAAGGCCUUAGGGUUGUAAAGUACUUUCGUUGGGGAGGAAAAAUAAAUAGAUAAUACCUGUUUAUCGUGACGUUACCCAAAAAAGAAGCACCGGCUAACUCCGUGCCAGCAGCCGCGGUAAUACGGAGGGUGCAAGCGUUAAUCAGAAUUACUGGGCGUAAAGAGCUCGUAGGCGGUUUUUUAAGUCAGAUGUGAAAUCCCUGGGCUUAACCUAGGAACUGCAUUUGAAACUAAAAGACUAGAGUAUCGUAGAGGGAGGUAGAAUUCUAGGUGUAGCGGUGAAAUGCGUAGAUAUCUGGAGGAAUACCUGUGGCGAAAGCGGCCUCCUAAAUGAAUACUGACGCUGAGGUGCGAAAGCAUGGGGAGCAAACAGGAUUAGAUACCCUGGUAGUCCAUGCCGUAAACGAUGUCGACUUGGAGGUUGUUUCCUUGAGAAGUGACUUCCGAAGCUAACGCGUUAAGUCGACCGCCUGGGGAGUACGGUCGCAAGGCUAAAACUCAAAUGAAUUGACGGGGGCCCGCACAAGCGGUGGAGCAUGUGGUUUAAUUCGAUGCAACGCGAAAAACCUUACCUGGUCUUGACAUCCACAGAAUUUUUCAGAGAUGAAAAAGUGCCUUAGGGAACUGUGAGACAGGUGCUGCAUGGCUGUCGUCAGCUCGUGUUGUGAAAUGUUGGGUUAAGUCCCGCAACGAGCGCAACCCUUAUCCUCUGUUGCCAUUGGUUCGGCCAGGAACUCAGAGGAGACUGCCGGUUAUAAACCGGAGGAAGGCGGGGACGACGUCAAGUCAUCAUGGCCCUUACGACCAGGGCUACACACGUGCUACAAUGGUGUAUACAAAGAGAAGCAACUCUGCAAAGACAAGCAAACCUCAUAAAGUACAUCGUAGUCCGGACUGGAGUCUGCAACUCGAUCCCAGAGG